ACGGGGUGCAGCAGGCGCGAAAACUUGACAAUGCGAGAAAUCGUGAUCAGGGAACUCCAAGUGGACCAGUUAUUACUGGUUUCUGAACCGACUCUAAAUAGGUCGGGUAAUAGGGGCGGGAAAUAUCGGUGCCAGCCGCCGCGGUAAUACCGAAGCCCCAAGUGGUCGUNGAUCUUAUUGGGCCUAAAACGUCCGUAGCCGGUUUGGUACAUUCGUGGGUAAAUCAGACAGCUUAACUGUCUGAAUUCUGCGAGGACGGCCAAACUUGAGACCGGGAGAGGUGUAGGGUACCUGCGGGGUAGGGGUAAAAUCCUGUCAUCCCGUAGGGACCACCAGUUGCGAAGGCUCUACACUAGAACGGAUCUGACGGUCAGGGACGAAGCCUAGGGGCACGAACCGGAUUAGAUACCCGGGUAGUCCUAGGUGUAAACGCUGUGGACUUUGUGUCGGGGGUCUUUCGAGGACUCUCGGUGCCGGAGUGAAGAUGUUAAGUCCACUGCCUGGGGAGUACGGUCGCAAGGCUGAAACUUAAAGGAAUUGGCGGGGGAGCACCGCAACGAGAGGAGCGUGCGGUUUAAUUGGAUUCAACGCCGGAAAACUCACCAAAGCCGACUGUUAGAUGAAGACCAGCGUAACGAGCUUGUCGGAUUUUCAGAGAGGUAGUGCAUGGCCGUCGUCAGUUCGUACCGUAAGGCGUUCUGUUAAGUCAGAUAACGAACGAGACCCCCAUCGUCAUUUGCUAACCCUUUCUCCGGAAAGGGCGCACUAUGGCGAGAUCGCUGGUGUGAAACCAGAUGAGAGCGGGGGCAACGGUAGGUCAGUAUGCUCCGAAUGCUUUGGGCUACACGCGCGCUACAAAGGACAGGACAAUGGGUUGCUACCCCGAAAGGCGGACGCUAUCCCGAAACCUGUUCGUAGUUCGGAUCGUGGGCUGUAACUCGCCCUCGUGAAGCUGGAUUUCGUAGUAAUCGCGUCUCAAAAUGGCGCGGUGAAUAUGCCCCUGCUCCUUGCACACACCGCCCGUCAAACCAUCUUAGUUGGGGGCGGGUGAGGCUACCUUUAAUUGGGGUAUUCGAGCCUGCC
Molecule: ribosomal RNA, 1083 nt
Filed under: uncultured Candidatus Poseidoniales archaeon
Lineage: Archaea; Methanobacteriati; Thermoplasmatota; Candidatus Poseidoniia; Candidatus Poseidoniales
Description: bacterial SSU rRNA
Rfam family: Archaeal small subunit ribosomal RNA
Source: RNAcentral